CGCGGAGCUGCUGGCUCCGUGGACAGGCGAUAUUGCUGCCGAAGGCGUGAGUCGCUUUUUUCGCCGUGGAGCAACCUUUCUGAAUCGUAGCGUGCAGCGCCAGCAGCGUUAUGUGGCUGAUGCGCUGACGGAAGAGUGGCGUCUGGCACCGGGUGCGCUGGAAGUGGCGUGGUUUGCUGAAGAGGUCGCUGCCGUCGAACGUUCGGCGACUAAUCUGACGACACGGCUGGAAAAACUGGAGGACAAAUGA
This 250-nucleotide small RNA is filed under the name uncultured Superficieibacter sp. Its description in RNAcentral is "Erse small RNA". The record is from RNAcentral. Lineage: Bacteria; Pseudomonadati; Pseudomonadota; Gammaproteobacteria; Enterobacterales; Enterobacteriaceae.